Molecule: non-coding RNA, 283 nt
Organism: Otolemur garnettii (small-eared galago)
Lineage: Eukaryota; Metazoa; Chordata; Mammalia; Primates; Galagidae
Source: Rfam
GCUGGGCACAGUGGCAUGUGCUUAUAGUCCCAGCUAGUCAGAAGACUGGGGUAGGAGGAUUGCUUGAGUCCAGGAGUUCUGGUCUAUAGUACAGUAUAUUGAUUGGAUGGUCCCACUGAGUUUGGCAUUGAUCUGGUGACCUUCAGGGAGCUGGAAACCACCAGGUUGCCUAAGGAGAAGUGAACUGGCCCAGGUCAGAAACAGAGGAGCUCAAAACUCUUAUGCUGAUCAAUAUUGAGAUCAGGCCUGUGAAUAGCCACUGCAUUCCAGCCUUUUACCCCAU